RNAcentral lists this long non-coding RNA (328 nucleotides) under Carica papaya (papaya). RNAcentral's name for it is "long non-coding RNA (CPAP_LNC008446)". The record is from RNAcentral. Lineage: Eukaryota; Viridiplantae; Streptophyta; Magnoliopsida; Brassicales; Caricaceae.
UACUAAAAAAAAUCCAAAAUCGGUGUCCAAAACUUAUUCCGACCAAUGUUAGGGAUCCAGCACCGCACCACCAUCGUGUUCUAACGUCAGCUCUACCACCGUGUUCUGACGUCGGCUCCACCGCCCAUGAUGGUGGUUCGCUUCAACCUGGUCAGUUUUGGCCAAUUUUAACCAAUUUACGCUGUAUCCCUAUAGAAAAACACAUUAGGUGCUUCAGUUGGCUGAAAAAUCACAAAAAAAUCGAACUUACCUGCAGGGGACCUCCGAGUGCAGCGGCUCCGCUUGUCCUCCUUCGCAGCUGAGGUUCUUUCUUUGGCUACCUUGCAUA